AGAGGCAAGAUUCUCCUAAGAGGCACAAGAGGAGAGCAGCGUGGCUGCUGAACAUCUACUGAUUAAGCCCCACUGCCUGCGAGCCACUGUUCUAAAUGGUGGGGACACCACGGGGGAGGCACAGUGGGAACUCUGUGUCCUCCUAGAAUCUAGGUGGGGGAGACAGACGGCACAUCAACCGGGUAAACAUGUGAAGUGGCUACAUAGUUGCUCGGCUGCACCCCUGAGAGACAAACUUACCGCCUGGAGCCAGCACUGAGACCAGUUCCUUUUGUCUUGAGUCAUAAACCUCUUUGCUGAAAUUGCUCAGUUGUGCCUUUUCCAGAAAGGCAUGGAAAUGGGAUCCCACAAUACGGAGCCUUGGGGCCUGGCUUUGUCAAUCAGCAAAAUGCCUCAGGGCCAGGCACGCUGGCUCACACCUGUAAUCCCAGCACUUUGGAAGCCUGAGGCAGGCGGAA
Molecule: long non-coding RNA, 458 nt
Organism: Macaca mulatta (Rhesus monkey)
Lineage: Eukaryota; Metazoa; Chordata; Mammalia; Primates; Cercopithecidae
Source: RefSeq, a predicted model, not a curated record